UGCGUCUGGGUUUGUACAUACUAUAGACAGCGUUGGGCAGGAGGAUGUGAAAAGUUUCUUUGAAAGAUGGAAAAAUUACUAGCAAGACAAUAUUGCAGGAGGGAACGGCUUGCGUGAGGUGGAGGGAGGAAGAACAGGACAGCUAGAUUCAGCUUGUGAGAUAGACUUGCAAAACUGCAAACCUUGUGAAUUUAGAUAACAUUGCUGUGCAGUGUAAUGAAAAUCGUUCCAGUCUUUACAGGCUGUACCUUUUCAUCAAGUCAGCACGGGCCCCUGAGGACUGCAAAGUGUGAGGUGACCCGUCGCCAGCCGGCUAAAUAAAGCUUGCAUAUGGAAUUCAAACUGGGUCGAGUGAGUCUGGUGGUUGGUGUUAACUGCAGGCUAACAUUUCUGGGAGCUCACACGGGAUCCGGCCACCAACCCUCCCCACCCCCAGGAAAACACCCAACUUGGCCAGUAGAACACUUCCAGGGGGUGCGCAACCUGAGGACUUUCCAGGUCCCUGGAGACGGUCUUCUCCUGGCGACACAGGGUCUCAAAUUGCAAGCAUCUGGUCAGGACCUCGAGGUAAUAUGGGACAGUCCUCAUCUACUGUGGAAGGAUCUCUUCAAUGUUUCCUAACCAAUUUUUCUCAAUUUAAAAGAGAACUCUCCCGAAUUAUGGUUAUCAUAUAAAAUCUGAUGAAUUGAAAAUGUUUUUGCAUGAAUGAAUGGCCUAUGUUCAGGGUCAGAUGGCCCCCAGAGGGGACUUUCGAUUGCGAAGGGUUCUUGCCAUUAUUAUGGGGAAAUUUUUUUCUGGGUUGUAGGUUUUAAGAAUUCAUGCAUACUCAUUGAUCACAAAGGGGCCCACUCCCCUUUGUAUCUUUUUCAGUCACUCUGGAAUAGGUUGAAAACGAUUAUCAAUAGUCAAUUGCUUAGUCAAACUAAGAAGUACAUGAUUCACCUGUCUAUCUUCUCUGCCUGUAGACAUGCUUGUAUCAAAUUAAACCAUAUUUGUUUUCAAGAUAUCUUCACUGGUUCUUUUUAUCUCACCUUGUACAUUCAGUUUUUCUUAGGUCAGCCCCUAUAUUUGCUGCUUGAAUUGUGAUAUCUCCUGCUACCAAGGGGUUUGAAAUUGACACUAAUGUCCCAUACUGAUUGCAGGGGACUUGCUACAGGAUCAAAUCACGCAUUCCUGCCAUAAAUGUUAUUAAAACAGACACCUCAAAAUAAUCAUGGUAAAUUGCCCCCUUCAUUCCUAAUUCUCAGGUCUGAUUUUGUAGCUCUUCCAUCAUGAUCCACGUUUUACUGGGCAUUGGUAAAUCACUUUCAUUUGGCCAAGUAGCCCUCCAUGCAGCUGUAAGCCACUGCAAAAGUGAGUUAUUCUCAUUCUGAUGCUGAGUAGCAGAACGUUCUGUCGGUGUCUCAUCAGGGACAUUUGGCUCAAGGAAGAUCAUAUUGCUCUCUACAAUGGUCUGAGUAGGUUGUAGCAAGGUGGGAAUUGGCCUCUUCUUCCAGGUAACUAACGAUAGGAUGAGAGGAAACGGCCUCAAGUUGUGCCAGGAGAGGUUCAGGCUGGAUAUUAGGAAAAACUUUUCUGAAAGAGUGGUUGGGCACUGGAAGAGUCUUUGUAACAGAGAUAAUGAACAUUAUGUUCACUGUGUUGUUGCAUCAGUCAUAAGGUGGAAUUUUGUAGUUCUUUUCUUGGAACACCCUCAAAAGCAGUGAGAUACGUGGACAUCAAGGAAAGCUGUUAAGCCCCUGGUUUUGGUUUCACUGAGCAGAAAAGGAGGCAUUCCAGGGCUAAUGUAAUAGGGGUCUGUGGCUGAGAUGCAACAUGUAAGCCUGGAUGUGUCUGAAUCCAGAGAUGAGCUGGAUCAGGGUGUAGGGAAGGAAGCUGUGAGUUAGAACAGAGCCUGUCAGCAAGUUUGUGAUGCGUGAACAUGUCAGGCACAUGUACUGCUGUCACAGUGUUUUGGCUGGUCAUUAUAAUGAAGGCCUGAAGAGCACGGCCUGUACAUCUGCCAGUCUCCUGGAAGCACAGGUAUGCAUAGGUGGAUCCACAGUGCUUUCUUUCCACAUUCUGCAUGUGGGGAUUGCUGAUUGAAAGGAUCACUUUUCCUGACACCUGGAGAUUGCUGUUUGACUUCAGUAAGGGAAGUUUGAUGCAGAAUUCUAUGUCUUUCUGUUCUGUUUGUAAUUAACGCCUGUAAGUUUCUGCUCUAAUGAGCCCCAGUGGGAACACACUGUCCAGCUUCAUUUCCAGUCUUUAAUCUCACACUGGGCCCAAUUAAAACUCCAAGUAACUUUUCUAUCUUCUUCUGCCUGUCAUUUCUCCAAGGCAUAUUGCCAGAUUUUGCCACAGCUUUUAAGUAUGAGAUUAGCACCAUAUUCCUCAAGGGACUCAUUAAAAUGGUGACAGCUAUAAUGAGCUCUGCUCAUAGUUUUCUGCCACUUCCUUCAGCCUUACAAACAUUGUACAGUCAAUUAGGGAGCUCUCAGACGUGUUUCAGUGAAUACAUACAGUACCAUUUUGAUUUGUAACUUGUUUUAAUUAUAUAUGAUAAGAAGAAUGGAAAUGCAUACAUUUUGAAAGAAAAUUAUUCUGCUUUAUAUCCCGGUGGGAAUCAGACAGAGAGAGGAAAAAUUUCCUUGUGAUCAAGCAGUGGGUGGCUGGAGACAUCCUUUGAUUCAUGUACUGGGAAUAAGACAGACUUUGUUACAGUUUGUUCUAGUGUCACAGCUGUUUGCAGAGCCUUUACCUGCUCUAAUUACAAUUGUCUUUACCUGUUUUCCUAACUAUGCGCAGAAACCAGAAGAAUAUUCAUCAUCAUUCCCCCCAGAUUUCAAGGCUUGUUUUAAUGAAAGGAAGAAAAGUGUUUAUUACAAAUAAAAAUUUAUGUUGUGUGUUAAGAACGUUAUUCCUAGAUGGUUGAGGGAAAUGCUUGUUCUGCUCUCCUCUGUACUGAGGUAUAGCCUCACUUUGAGUACUGUGCGCAGUUUUGGACAUCAUGGUAUAAGAAGAACAGGCAUGACUCCAUACAAUACUUAGUGAAAAAAGCUACAUUAUUUUAUGCCUGAUAGAGGCACCAAUACCCAAAGCAAAACGUUAUGAAAAUUUCCAUAAUAAAAGACAGAAAAAGAAAGCAAGAAACUUGAGGAGGAAAUAAUACUUCUUUCUCCAAAAGAGUUUUUUUUAAAAUCAUUCUAUACAUUUUUAAUUUUAAGAAAGGUUACUAUCUACCUCUUUACCAAUUUUCUGUAGUUUUACUCAUAACUGUAUUGUUUUGUCUAGCUGACAAUGUUUUGUAAGUGUUUUUUUGACUAAAAAUGGUAUACAAAUUUUAAAUGAAGUUUCACCAACUAGUUAGAUAUUUAAAAAAUCAUUCUUCUGUUCAACUGUUUAUAUCUGAAAGUUAUUUGUUAUAAGUUCCCAUGUUCCCAUCAUAGAAAUGUUAAAAAAUGGCUUAAUGGUUUUGAGUUUGGAGAAAAAAUAUUCCAUCCCAAAUGAAUGCUCCUAUCCAUAGCUCUACUUCACUGCUCUGUAAGGCAUGAAAUAUAUGAAAUUAUCCAACAAGCCUGAGCAUUUAAUCUGAAUAUUGCAUGAUGCGUCUGUGGCUCUCCAUUUGUGUCUGUGCAUGCUUAAGGCCUUUUCUUUUUCCUUUUCAAAAAUCCUGAUGAGGACCUUGCUUUUUCAUCAAUAGCCAGUAUAGAAUUGAGUUGACAUUGGCCAGUGGACAUAAAGGGCAACAAAAAAUGCUUCUCUAAGUAUCUCAGUGAUAAAAGGAAGACUAGGUAAAAUGUAGGCCCUCUCUGGAAGAAGACGGGAGACCUGGUUACCUGGGAUAUAGGGAAGGCUGAGGUACUCAACAAUGUUUUGCCCAUCUUCACCAGCACAUGCUUCAGCCACACCGUGGAAGUUGCAGAAGACAAAAGCAGAGACUAGGAGAAUGAAGAACCACUCACUGUAAGAGAAGAUCAGGUCUAAGGCCAUUUAAGAAACCUAAAGGUGCUUAACUCCAUGGAGCCUGAUGAGAUGCAUCCGAGGAUCCCACGGGAACUGGUAAAUGACAUUACUAAGCUACUAUGCAUCACAUUUAGAAGCUGUGGCAGUAUGGUGAAAUUUUCACCAAACAGAAAAGGGGAAAAAUAACUCCCACUUUCGAAAAGUGGAAAAAAAGAAUAUCCUGGGAACUACAGGCUGGUUAGACUUGUGUCUGGGCCCAACAAGAUCAUGGAGUCAGUGUUCUUGGAAACUGUUCUAAGGCACAUGGAAAACAAGGACAGCCAGCAUGGCCUCAGUAAGGGCAAAUCAUGCUUGAAAAAUUUGGUGGCCUUCUUUAACAGGGUUACAGCAUUGGUAGAUAAUGAAGAGCAACUGAUGUCAUUUACCUAGACUUGUGCAAAGCAUUUGAUACUAUCCCUCAUGACAUUCUUCUCUCUAAAUUGGAGAGACGUGGAUUUGAUGAGAGACAUGGACCACUCUGUGGAUAAGGAGCUGACUAGUCAGUGUCAUGAUGUGUAGGUGAAGACCACUGAUGAGCAGUGCUCCUCAGAGGACGGUUCUGGGACCAAUGCUGUUUAACAUCUUUGUCUGACAUGGACAGUGGGAUUGAGUGAACCCUCAGCAAAUUUACUGGCAAUACCAAGUUAUGUGCUGCAGUCAACAUGCUGGAGGAAAGGGAUGUCAUCCAGAGGGACCUUAACAGGUAUCAGUGGUUUUAGGCUGGUUCGGCCCAAUUCCAUGACUAAUUGAGGUGGAGGGACACAUGGACCCAUGCCCCAGGAGAGGGGAAAGAGGGGUAGGAAAAAGGUAGGGAGAUGGGCCUACAAAUAGAACAGCAGCAACAAGCUAAGGGAGAAAACUAGUUUACUAAAUAUGAUACCAGAAUGCAAAUAACACAAUAUAAUACAAUAUAAUUUGAAUUGAAGUUAAUAAAUCACAUAAAAUGAGAGUGAGAGUGUCCAAAACCAAAGGCCUUACUCUAAUGCUCUCUAAAUUCUGAGAACCCUGUACCUGGAAAUAUUGACAAUCCACGGAACUGGAGCAUUAACUCUUUAACUCAAAGUGCACUACAUGAUAUUAUGAUGUCAUAAAACCAUGACAAUAGGCUUGAGUGAUGGGCCCAUGCAAACAUCAAGUUCAACAAGGCCAGUUGCAAAGUCUUGCACCUGGGUUGAGAAAAUCCCAAGCACAAAUACAGGCUAGGUGGGAAUGGAUGGAGAAUAGCAAUGCAGAGAAGGACUUAAUGGGUCUUGGCUGAAGAGAAACUCUACAUGAGCCUGCAAUGUCUAAUCAAAGCCCAGAAAGCCGAUGGUUAUCUAGGCUGCAUCAAAAGAAGUGUAGCUGACAUAUUGAAAGAGGAUAUUCUCCCCCUCCACCCUCGUGAGACCCAACCUGAAGUACCCUGUUUAGCUCUGGAGCCCCCAGGAUAAGGACAUGACCCUGUUGGAUGAAGUCCAGAGGAUGAUCAGAGGUAUAGAGUGCCUCUCUGAUGAAGAAAGGCUGAGAGAGUUGGGCUUGUUCAGCCUGGAGAAGAGAAGGCUUCAGGGAGACCAGAUUCUUCCAGUACUUACAGGGAGCUUAUCAACAAGAUAGGGACCGACUUUUAACAUAGUCUGAUAGCGACAGGUGAAUCGCAUCUGGUGCCGUAAUAAACAUACCUGCUUUAUAACCUUA
This is a long non-coding RNA of Numida meleagris (helmeted guineafowl), 5658 nucleotides long. RefSeq lists it as uncharacterized. Lineage: Eukaryota; Metazoa; Chordata; Aves; Galliformes; Numididae. The record is from RefSeq and is a predicted model, not a curated record. The transcript is spliced from 2 exons.